RNAcentral lists this non-coding RNA (21 nucleotides) under Caenorhabditis elegans. The record is from RNAcentral. Lineage: Eukaryota; Metazoa; Nematoda; Chromadorea; Rhabditida; Rhabditidae.
UGAUCCCUUGAAUAUAUAUUU